RNAcentral lists this long non-coding RNA (1204 nucleotides) under Pan troglodytes (chimpanzee). RNAcentral's name for it is "long non-coding RNA NONPTRT000816". The record is from RNAcentral. Lineage: Eukaryota; Metazoa; Chordata; Mammalia; Primates; Hominidae.
CCAAGAGCAAACACAGCGCCUACACCUGCCGGUACAGGCCUCCAACCCCACUCUCUCAGAUACGUCCUCCAGAGUCAUCUCAUCCACCCCACCCUGGGGAGGAGGGAAACUGAGGCAUGGCAAGAGACAAGACUAACUCAGGCAUCACGUGGGCUCUCCCGGCACCAGCACCGCCAGGCCCUGUGCAGGACACCAGGGUCAUCAGGAAGGAAAUGAGGCAGCCCAAGGAGGCAGGAGACGAGGCCCUACCCAGCACCCAGCCAUCUGCAUUGACACGGCUGCCCACAGGAUAUCACUGCCCCCAUCCCGGGGCCCACCAUUACCAGCAGGGAGAGGGAGGCAGGUUCAGCAGGGACAGAGCUCAGGGGGAAGGCACCUCCCGUCCUGGUUCAAUACAUGGACCCCUGACCCGGGGAAAGGGACUGAGCCAGGGGAGGCCUCAGGUCACUGCACCAUGAAGUUGUGGGGAGCUGCGGGGGCCUCUGGGCUCUGAGCUGGGCAGGCACAGCGUGGGUACCACGUGCCGAGGGGAAGAAGCGUGCCAGGGUGGACGUCUCAGUGCACACGCAGGAACGUGAAACGGCUGAGCCGGCCCAGAGAGGCAGCGGAGCGUGUGCGGGGCGGCCGGCGGAGGAGCAGCAGGAUCCCAGGCGGGAGGGCACGGCCUUCUGAGAGGCAGGUUCCAGGACAAUACUCAGUGUUUCGAUCCAGGAGGUCCCAUUGUGGCGUUUCAUCAAUAAACGCACAUGCGAGGUGGAGGGUGGCUGGUGUGGAAUGUGCCCGGCAGCUUUCACAGCAAAGGAGAAUUCUAGAACCAACCGAAGUGCCCCUCUGAAGGGAGCUGGUCCCGUCCGUUCCAGCCGCCGUGGAGUAACACAGCCAGCAGUUUCCCUCCUGUCACGAAAGCUCGAGACUGAAACUCAGGAUGAACUGUUUUCAGCCAGGGUCACCCCAGCCCUGGGGUGGAGGCCCAUUGAGGAUGGCCGAGCAGGGGCGGGCGUCCAGGCAGGUCCAGCAGUCCUGGGGGGCUGAGGAGAAGGAGGUCAGGGCUCAGGGAGGCAUCCGCAGAGGGACCUGGCAGGCAGAGCUCCAGAAGGGCGGGAACUGCACAGACAGAAAGCUCCAGAAGGCUGCCUGAGGGUCUCUGAGGCCUCCGGAGUCAGGCGCCAUGCAUGUGGAAGGUGGACUCUUCAGCAUGGGUGGG